UAAUAAGACUGCGUCCCUCCCGCAGCUGCGUGCUCGGUCGAGGCGGACGACCUCCCAGAUAGAGGAGUACCGUUCUUCGGUCAAGGGUUUACGGUAGCUGCUCUCCCCUGCUAGAACCUCCAAGACUGGGACUGUUCAGCUUGGAAAAGAGACAACUAAGGGGGGGUAUGGUAGAAGUCUGUAAAAUCAUGAGUGAUGUCAAGAGAGUGAAUAGGGAAGUGUUCUUUACCCCUU
RNAcentral lists this small nuclear RNA (234 nucleotides) under Chelonia mydas (Green sea turtle). Its description in RNAcentral is "7SK RNA". It matches the Rfam family "7SK RNA", at positions 103 to 331 of the family's 331-position model. From Rfam's summary of the family: 7SK was discovered as an abundant small nuclear RNA in the mid-70s but a possible function has only recently been suggested. Two independent studies have found that 7SK RNA binds the CDK9/cyclin T complex (known as elongation factor P-TEFb). P-TEFb activates transcription by phosphorylating the C-terminal domain of RNA polymerase II. Lineage: Eukaryota; Metazoa; Chordata; Testudines; Cheloniidae. The record is from Rfam by way of RNAcentral.